Molecule: ribosomal RNA, 520 nt
Filed under: uncultured bacterium
Lineage: Bacteria
Description: bacterial SSU rRNA
Rfam family: Archaeal small subunit ribosomal RNA
Source: RNAcentral
AACCUCCGCAAUGUGAGAAAUCGCGACGGGGGGAUCCCAAGUGCCAUUCUUAACGGGAUGGCUUUUCUUAAGUGUAAAAAGCUUUUGGAAUAAGAGCUGGGCAAGACCGGUGCCAGCCGCCGCGGUAACACCGGCAGCUCUAGUGGUAGCUGUUUUUAUUGGGCCUAAAGCGUUCGUAGCCGGUUUGAUAAGUCACUGGUGAAAUCCUGUAGCUUAACUGUGGGAAUUGUUGGUGAUACUGUUGAACUUGAGGUCGGGAGAGGUUAGCGGUACUCCCAGGGUAGAGGUGAAAUUCUGUAAUCCUGGGAGGACCACCUGUGGCGAAGGCGGCUAACUGGAACGAACCUGACGGUGAGGGACGAAAGCUAGGGGCGCGAACCGGAUUAGAUACCCGGGUAGUCCUAGCCGUAAACGAUGCGGACUUGGUGUUGGGAUGGCUUUGAGCCGCUCCGGUGCCGAAGGGAAGCUGUAAGUCCGCCGCCUGGGAAGUACGGUCGCAAGACUGAAACUUAAAGGAAUU